This 825-nucleotide ribosomal RNA is filed under the name Triticum aestivum (bread wheat). RNAcentral's name for it is "partial small subunit ribosomal RNA". Lineage: Eukaryota; Viridiplantae; Streptophyta; Magnoliopsida; Poales; Poaceae. The record is from RNAcentral.
AUGGCCGCCGACGCCGCCUACGUGAAGCGGGUGCUGCUCGCCUGCAACGGCGGCGGCGACGCCGUCUCGCGGGGGGUCGCCGUCGGCCUAGCCAGGCACGGCUGCAGGCUGGUCCUGGUGGGCGACGAGGGCGCCCUGGCCGCGACGGCGGAGGAGGCGCGGCGCUGCGCGGCCGGAGGGGCGGCGGCCGUCGCGGUGGUUGGGCUGGACUUCGCGGCCUGCGACGAGGCGGCCGUCGGCGCCGCGGUGGAGGCGGCCUGGCGCUGCUUCGGGGACGGCGGACUCGACGCCCUGGUCAACUGCUGCUCCUACGAGGGGGAAGUGCAAGACUGCCUCAGCGUGACUGAAGAUGAGUACAACAAGACCAUGAAAGUCAAUGUAAUCACACCCUGGCUUCUGAUAAAGGCGAUCGCCAAGCGGUUCCGCGAUGCGCAGUCCGGCGGCUCUGUGGUAUGCUUGACCCAGAUCAUCGGCGCCGAGAGAGGAUUGUAUCCGGGGGCGGCGGCAUAUGGCACAAGUUUAGGCGCCGUUCACCAGCUCGUCAGACUAUCGGCGAUGGAGCUCGGCAAGCACAAGAUCAGGGUGAAUGCCGUCUGCCGCGGCCUCCACCUGGGGGACAAGUUCCCUGUCUCUGUUGGGGAGGAGAAGGCCGAGAAGGCGACCAGGGAGGUAAUGCCGCUGCGGCGGUGGCUGGACCCAGAGAAGGACCUCGCUUCCACGGUGCUGUACCUGGUCGGCGACGACUCCCGCUUCAUGACAGGCACCACCAUCUACGUCGACGGCGCACAGUCCAUAGUGCGCCCUCGCAUGCGUUCCUUCCUGUAG